RNAcentral lists this ribosomal RNA (399 nucleotides) under uncultured bacterium. Its description in RNAcentral is "bacterial SSU rRNA". It matches the Rfam family "Bacterial small subunit ribosomal RNA", at positions 64 to 507 of the family's 1533-position model. The record is from RNAcentral.
GUACGAUGCUUUCGGGCAUAGUGGCGCACGGGUGCGUAACGCGUGGGAAUCUGCCCUUUGGUCUGGGAUAACUGUUGGAAACGACAGCUAAUACCGGAUGAUGACGUAAGUCCAAAGAUUUAUCGCCAGAGGAUGAGCCCGCGUCGGAUUAGCUAGUUGGUGGGGUAAAGGCCUACCAAGGCGACGAUCCGUAGAUGGUCUGAGAGGAUGAUCAGCCACACUGGGACUGAGACACGGCCCAGACUCCUACGGGAGGCAGCAGUGGGGAAUAUUGGACAAUGGGCGAAAGCAUGAUCCAGCAAUGCCGCGUGAGUGAUGAAGGCAUUAGGGUUGUAAAGCUCUUUUACGCCGGGAUGAUAAUGACAGUACACGGGAGAAUAAGCUCCGGCUAAGUCCGUG